Molecule: ribosomal RNA, 194 nt
Filed under: uncultured beta proteobacterium
Lineage: Bacteria; Pseudomonadati; Pseudomonadota; Betaproteobacteria
Description: partial 16S ribosomal RNA
Rfam family: Bacterial small subunit ribosomal RNA
Source: RNAcentral
CCUACGGGAGGCAGCAGUGGGGAAUUUUGGACGAUGGGGGAAACCCUGAUCCAGCCAUUCCGCGUGAGUGAAGAAGGCCUUCGGGUUGUAAAGCUCUUUCGGCAGGAACGAAACGGUUUGGGUUAAUACCUCAGACUACUGACGGUACCUGAAAAAGAAGCACCGGCUAACUACGUGCCAGCAGCCGCGGUAAU